GGGCCGGCUGUAACUUAGCGGUUACUUCUACCUUCAGUGUUUUGAACGGAUCCUCAUGAAUCCCGUGUGCGCUAUCUGACUUUUUU
Molecule: non-coding RNA, 86 nt
Organism: Pelobates cultripes (western spadefoot toad)
Lineage: Eukaryota; Metazoa; Chordata; Amphibia; Anura; Pelobatidae
Source: the annotation of a GenBank genome assembly